This is a small nuclear RNA of Vicugna pacos (alpaca), 164 nucleotides long. Its record names the gene U1. It matches the Rfam family "U1 spliceosomal RNA". Rfam says of the family: U1 is a small nuclear RNA (snRNA) component of the spliceosome (involved in pre-mRNA splicing). Its 5' end forms complementary base pairs with the 5' splice junction, thus defining the 5' donor site of an intron. There are significant differences in sequence and secondary structure between metazoan and yeast U1 snRNAs, the latter being much longer (568 nucleotides as compared to 164 nucleotides in human). The record is from Ensembl. Lineage: Eukaryota; Metazoa; Chordata; Mammalia; Artiodactyla; Camelidae.
AUACUUACCUGGCAGGGGAGAUACCAUGAUCACGAAGGUGGUUUUCCCAGGGCGAGGCUUAUCCAUUGCCCUCUGGAUGUGCUGACCCUUGCGAUUUUCCCAAGUGUGGGAAACUCGACUGCAAAAUUUUUGGUAACGGGGGACUGCGUUCGCACUUUCCCCUA